Molecule: long non-coding RNA, 909 nt
Filed under: Hordeum vulgare
Lineage: Eukaryota; Viridiplantae; Streptophyta; Magnoliopsida; Poales; Poaceae
Description: long non-coding RNA (HVUL_LNC010920)
Source: RNAcentral
GUUUUUUCAUGGCAGUCAGAUCUGGGAGCCAAGGUAAUCAUCGCUAGCUUUUCAGCACAGCGCCGCCGAGAUCCCUGCUCAUUCCCUCUUCGUUUUCUCAUGGCAGUCAGAUCUGGGAGCCAAGGUAAUCAUCGCUAGCUUUUCAGCACAGCGCCGCCCAGAUCCCUGCUCAUUCCCUCUUCGUUUUUUCAUGGCAGUUAGAUCUGGGAGCCAAGGUAAUCAUCGCUAGCUUUUCAGCAUAGCGCCGCCCAGAUCCAUGCUCAUUCCCUCUUCGUUUUCUUGAACAGAAUAGAGAAAGUACCAUCUAUUUCCUCUAAAAAAUGAAUUUCCUCUUUUGUACCUAUUUAUUUUUCCUCAUGUUGUGGGUUUCUAUUCUGUCAUCCAAAAUUUAUGGAAUCGUGAUCAUUGGCAUAUGAUAAGGUGAGAGAUCGUGUUAUUUCUUUUUUUUUCUUCUAAAGAUGUGUUCCGUUCAGAAAUUUUGCCAUGACAUUGGCAUGUUGUGGGCUGUAAAUAAAAUUGAAAGAAACAAACUAAUCGUGCUUGCUUAGUUACUUAGUUCAUACAAUAGCGAUGACCUACACAAAAAAAACUGAACUAACGGUUCUGAUUUGUUAUCCCUUCACUGUUAUUUCAGAGGAUGUGUACAGGAAACGAUACCAAUGACAAUUUCCCCGAGGGUGAAUAGAACAAAGAAUCCAGUAUGAUACUCAUUUGGAUGCUAUAUACUUGAUAUACUGAAUAAUUGUUUUACACAUCACCCAUCGUAGUAUGAUUCAGUAUGAUGUGCACACUUGCAGUUUACCAAGAUGACCCACAAAGGAGAUUGUGAACUGAAGACAUAGACCAAUUUUACAAUAGAUUUUGAUCAACAGUAUUCAGUUUGCUUUAGCAUCCAUUUUGUGUAUCCUU